GUGGAUGUGAUGAUUAUUUUCCCGAAUGAUCGAAUCUGAAAUAACUGAGCGCUCAAUUCAUGUUUCUCCUUUUGGUGAAAUUCAAGCAAGAAAUCUGAUCCAUCUUCAAAAUUGUGUUUUGUUUAUAUUCUCUAUUACGUUAUAGAGAAUCUAAGCCAGAAAUUUGAUCCUAUCUCUGUUUAUGUUGAUAAAAUAUGAGUUCCUCUGAUGAUGAUUCAAAUAAAAACUUUCGUUCUUCAAGGAUGAUAUCCGUCUAUGCAGAAACGAUUAUUGGAGACCUGAGCUGAAGAGGC
This 293-nucleotide long non-coding RNA is filed under the name Helianthus annuus (common sunflower). Its description in RNAcentral is "hypothetical non coding rna". The stretch from base 1 to 103 matches the Rfam family "Small nucleolar RNA Z103". The record is from RNAcentral. Lineage: Eukaryota; Viridiplantae; Streptophyta; Magnoliopsida; Asterales; Asteraceae.